Molecule: unclassified non-coding RNA, 313 nt
Filed under: uncultured Inocybe
Lineage: Eukaryota; Fungi; Basidiomycota; Agaricomycetes; Agaricales; Cortinariaceae
Description: sequence contains ITS2
Rfam family: 5.8S ribosomal RNA (bases 1-52)
Source: RNAcentral
AACGCAUCUUGCGCUCCUUGGUAUUCCGAGGAGCAUGCCUGUUUGAGUGUCAUUAAGUUCUCAACUGCACUAGUUCUUUCUGGUGCAGCUUGGAUGUGGGGGUGUUUUUUUGCAGGCUUUUCAAAGUCGGCUCCCCUGAAAUGCAUUAGUGGUCUCCUAGCAGAGAAACUGCUACAGGUGUGAUAAUUAUCUAUGCCUUUAGUACUCUGCAAGAAUGGAUUGCACUGCUUCUUAACAAGUGAAUCCCUGUUAUGGGGAGUGCACAUUUGACAAAUUUGACCUCAAAUCAGGUAGGACUACCCGCUGAACUUAA